This is a long non-coding RNA of Carassius auratus (goldfish), 694 nucleotides long. RefSeq lists it as uncharacterized. The transcript has 3 exons. Lineage: Eukaryota; Metazoa; Chordata; Actinopteri; Cypriniformes; Cyprinidae. The record is from RefSeq and is a predicted model, not a curated record.
GAAUCCAGAACAAAACUUGAAGUUCUACAUGCAUAUCUGCUUUGUUUCCUGUUUGGAUGGCAGUCAACAGUAUGUUGUCACUUACUGUGAAACUUAGAUAUGAUUAACUGGUUGAGAAAAUAAGAUUCAGGUUUAAAGUAGUUGAACUAGGUGAAAACAGAGAUAACAGGUGAGAAUCGAUGAAAUGGAAAUGUCAAGGAUUACAUUUAUUUGUAGAAUAACAGUUGGGACAAUGUCAGAUGAAACAUACACAGUAAAGAGACCAAACAAUGUCUGUGUGACAGUGGCAGUGUUUAAUUGCAUGGAGAUGAGGAGCAGUUGUGGUUCAUUAAUUAGUCUGGGGAGAGUGAGUGAGCAGAGUGUCCAUGGAGAUGGACAGCUUGGUGGAGAAGGACGUGAGACAUGAACCGUGAUUCUAAACAAGUCUAGCAGGUUUACAGUCCAGUAAAUGUUAUCUAGGUGCAGAGAAAACGAAACUCUUCUAAGAGAAAAUGACAACGCAGCCUAGAAGUAGGAACUGCUGAUUAUUUGCUCCCACAAUAAAAGCUAUGGAUUCCAAUGAGACAUCUAAAGGACCAAAAUCAAAUAUGUCAAGGGGCUUAACUUUUUUGAACUACUUGCUAUCUGCACUACUUAAGAUAGCACUACUUAUCUUGGCUGGAUCAGUGGUGUGCCAGAUGCCUAUGCAACAAAA